GACGAACCGUGCGAACGUUGUUCGGAAUCACUGGGCUUAAAGGGCGUGUAGGCGGCUCGACAAGUCGGGGGUGAAAUCUUUCGGCUCAACCGGAAAAGGGCCUCCGAUACUGUCGAGCUCGAGGGAGGUAGGGGCGGACGGAACUUCCGGUGGAGCGGUGAAAUGCGUUGAUAUCGGAAGGAACGCCGGUGGCGAAAGCGGUCCGCUGGCCCUCUACUGACGCUGAGGCGCGAAAGCCAGGGGAGCCAAACGGG
This 254-nucleotide ribosomal RNA is filed under the name uncultured bacterium. RNAcentral describes it as "partial 16S ribosomal RNA". It matches the Rfam family "Bacterial small subunit ribosomal RNA", at positions 524 to 777 of the family's 1533-position model. The record is from RNAcentral.